Molecule: ribosomal RNA, 253 nt
Filed under: uncultured bacterium
Lineage: Bacteria
Description: partial 16S ribosomal RNA
Rfam family: Bacterial small subunit ribosomal RNA
Source: RNAcentral
UACGGGGGGGGCAAGCGUUGUUCGGAAUUACUGGGCGUAAAGGGCUCGUAGGCGGCCAACUAAGUCGGAUGUGAAAGCCCUCGGCUUAACCGAGGAAGUGCAUCCGAAACUGAGUAGCUAGAGUACGAAAGAGGGUCGCGGAAUUCCCGGUGUAGAGGUGAAAUGCUUAGAUAUGGCACAGAACACCGAUAGUGAAGACAGCUCACGAAGGCGAAACUGACACUGAGGCACGAAAGCGUGGGGAUCGAACAGG